AACUAUCAACAUGACCAUUUAAUGUUGAUAGUUUUAUGAGAAAUAUACCUUCAUGUUGACUGCAUUAAAUGUGACAAAAUGUGUAGGGUGCAUCUGGGUUUGCGUAGUCCAUGUGAAAAACUGAAAUCUUCCUUAAUCUUCAAAAUCGAAGACAUUGCCAUUAAAGGUGACAAAAUAUGUAGGUGGCAACUCAGUUUGCAAAGUCAUCUGAAACACUGCACUCAUCCUUGAUAAUCUCCAGAAUUGAAGACAUUGUCAUUACAUGGUGGCAACUGGGUUUGGGUAGUCAUGUUAAUUAUAUAUACACAUGUAUUUAGCUCUUAGGUCAGAAGUGAUAUGGCUAUAAUCUGUCGGCUGUUGUGCAAAGUGGUUGUAGGCUAACUUCAUAUUGCAUCAGUUGAUUGAGGAAUUGUAAACAUUUCACGCUACUGUUUUGAUGUGCUGAGUUCUGGCUUAAGUCUGCAAAUUUAUUUUUGUUUUUAUGGUUGGUCUUUAAAACCUACAGUGUUUGACAAUGGCUGUGAUACUAGAGUUUGUUUUUACAUGUUUCGACUCUAUAUCCUGUGAACACUUUUAAAAUGUGUGACUUUAUUUGACAGUGUGACAAGUCAGCCUUGAAUGCUUUUCAGUUUAUUGUCAAUGUAUAGGUCAGGGACUUUUGUAAUUUAUAUAGAGACUGAUUAGUUCUGUAAAAUAAAAGAGUUAUACUUUGAAACAGUGACUAAAGAAAAAUAGUUUUGCUUCAAUUGAAUUUUGUUUGUAUGUUGAACAAGAAAAGGUUUAGACUUUGUGUAUCAAUCAUUCAUAUUUUGUUCUCAGUUUUUAUUUUUUAUUUGAUUGUUUCAUUACCUUUUGAUUUUUUAAAAAUUUGUUUCAUGCCAAAGAUGAAUUUGUAGCAUCAAAAGAUCAAAAGUAUUGCUUCUUUUUUGGUAUGGUCAUUUCACAAAGGCUCACAGUUAUUUUACCAUGUCUAUUGAAUUAAGAAAAAAAAUCAAGAUUUAUUAGCUGCAUUUCUAUAUUAAAAUAUUAAGGGAAUAAACAAGAGUAUUUUUAUAAUUUGUUGAUGAUUUAUGGAAUUGUAUCCAGUGUACAAUGCAAAAAAAUAGUCAAUUCUUACAGAUAAUAUGGAAAUGAUUGAUGUAACAUCUUUGUAUAACGGGUAAUUUUAUCUGUUUGGAGAAUGGCUUGUUCCCAAAACCAAUGGAAGAAAGGCAAUAGAUGAGCCUGUUGAGGGCAAGGCAAUAGAUGAGCCUAUUGAGGGCAAGGCAAUACAUGAGACAAAAGGAGGUGAGAAAACUGAGAAAAGUUCUUGGCAACUGCUUGCUUCUAAAAGGGACAGUGGUAGAUGACAGCUAAUACUUUUUUAAAAUCUUACCAAAGAAAAGCACAGAGCAGGAAAUGGGAACACCUCAUGAACAUAUGUUCGGCUUAAUUAUUUGUAUAUGUAGGUCUUAAUUAUUUGUAAUUGAAAACCAUCCUAAAAUUGACUUGUGCCAUUUUGAAACAAUGGAUAAAAUUUGCCUUUGUGAAAUGACUGAAAUGCAGUGUUGAAGUUCAGUCAAAUCAAAACAUAUUCACAUUGACUUGGUGAUCAAUAUUCAACAGACAUUGAUAUUCAUAGUAUAUGCAGUGCUGUAUUUUGACUUGAAAAGGUCCUAAACUAUUUUAGAUAUGGGGCCAUUUAUAAGUUCAGAUUAUAUAUGUCAGUGCUAAAUAUUUCUUAGGGGUCCUAAGCUAGAGCUGGUGUGUCUUUAGGCCCUGAACAUAUGUAGAGCUAACCAUACAAACAAAAAAAUAUUUACAUUAUCUUUUCUUACUUUAUUUUAAUUUUAUGAAAUGCUCAACUGAAUUUCUGUUUUUUUUUGUUGUUUUUUUUGUAUUUAACCAUAGUC
Molecule: non-coding RNA, 1892 nt
Organism: Biomphalaria pfeifferi
Lineage: Eukaryota; Metazoa; Mollusca; Gastropoda; Planorbidae
Source: the annotation of a GenBank genome assembly